Molecule: ribosomal RNA, 253 nt
Filed under: uncultured bacterium
Lineage: Bacteria
Description: partial 16S ribosomal RNA
Rfam family: Bacterial small subunit ribosomal RNA
Source: RNAcentral
UACGGAGGGGGCAAGCGUUAUUCGGAAUUAUUGGGCGUAAAGGGCGCGUAGGCGGCUAGAUGUGUCAAAGGUGAAAUCCCUCGGCUCAACUGAGGAACUGCCUUUGAAACUGUCUGGCUUGAGGCCGGGAGAGGGUAGCGGAAUUCCCAGUGUAGCGGUGAAAUGCGCAGAUAUCAGGAAGAAUAUCCGUGGCGAAGGCGGCUCUCUGGUACGGCACUGACGCUGAGACGCGAAAGCGUGGGGAGCGAACAGG